Capra hircus (goat) is the source of this 99-nucleotide ribosomal RNA. NCBI's taxonomy places the organism in Eukaryota, Metazoa, Chordata, Mammalia, Artiodactyla, Bovidae. The record is from Ensembl.
GUCUAUGGCUAAGCCACCCAGAAUGCAUCUGAUCACGGGAGCUAAGCAGGGCUGGGCCCGGUUAGUACCUGGAUGAAAGAAACCUCAUUGUAGCAGGUG